This 253-nucleotide ribosomal RNA is filed under the name uncultured bacterium. RNAcentral describes it as "partial 16S ribosomal RNA". It matches the Rfam family "Bacterial small subunit ribosomal RNA", at positions 524 to 776 of the family's 1533-position model. The record is from RNAcentral.
UACAGAGGUGGCAAGCGUUGUUCGGAAUUACUGGGCGUAAAGGGCGCGUAGGCGGCCUUCUAAGUCAGACGUGAAAUCCCCCGGCUUAACCUGGGAACUGCGUCUGAUACUGGAGGGCUUGAGUGCGGGAGAGGGAUGUGGAAUUCCAGGUGUAGCGGUGAAAUGCGUAGAUAUCUGGAGGAACACCGGUGGCGAAGGCGGCAUCCUGGACCAACACUGACGCUGAGGAGCGAAAGCCAGGGGAGCAAACGGG